Cyprinus carpio (common carp) is the source of this 405-nucleotide long non-coding RNA. Lineage: Eukaryota; Metazoa; Chordata; Actinopteri; Cypriniformes; Cyprinidae. The record is from Ensembl.
AUGCAGAGUACAACCUCCUACAGAGGGAGAAAAGUUCAUCCCUGGAGCAACACGCCCAGGAGCACAUGCCUGUGGAGUUGUGUGCACAGAGGGAACAGGCAGUGUCGCAUCUGUAGGCUGAGUGUGAGGAGCUGUGCAUGCAGAGUCGCAGAGUUCAGAAGCAGCUGCAGGAAGAACUGGCCAAGCUGCAGCAGCACUGUACAGAGUCCCUGCCGCAGGCCGAGAGCCAUAAACAGUAGGUUCUAUCUGAGAAGGAGGCAGAGAAGGAUACUCUUACUGAGCGCAUAAUCACCCUCGAGCAUGACAUAGAGACAGCUGCCCUUGAAAAGGAUCGAAUGCGUAGAGACUUCUUGAGCAAACAGGAGCAGGAUAAGGUAUAAUAAAUCCAAAUAUGUCUUUAGAUCA